RNAcentral lists this ribosomal RNA (1549 nucleotides) under Haemophilus influenzae. RNAcentral's name for it is "bacterial LSU rRNA". It matches the Rfam family "Bacterial large subunit ribosomal RNA", at positions 1286 to 2819 of the family's 2925-position model. The record is from RNAcentral. Lineage: Bacteria; Pseudomonadati; Pseudomonadota; Gammaproteobacteria; Pasteurellales; Pasteurellaceae.
AAGUGCGAAUGCUGACAUAAGUAACGAUAAAACGGGUGAAAAACCCGUUCGCCGGAAGACCAAGGGUUCCUGUCCAACGUUAAUCGGGGCAGGGUGAGUCGGCUCCUAAGGCGAGGCUGAAAAGCGUAGUCGAUGGGAAACAGGUUAAUAUUCCUGUACUUGGUAAAGCUGCGAUGUGGGGACGGAGUAGGUUAGGUUAUCGCACUGUUGGAUAUGUGCGUUUAAGUUGGUAGGUGGGAAGUUUAGGCAAAUCCGGGCUUCCUUAACACAGAGAGAUGAUGACGAGGCUCUACGGAGCUGAAGUAACUGAUACCACACUUCCAGGAAAAGCCACUAAGCGAAAGGCUUUACUAAACCGUACUGAAAACCGACACAGGUGGUCAGGUAGAGAAUACUCAGGCGCUUGAGAGAACUCGGGUGAAGGAACUAGGCAAAAUAGCACCGUAACUUCGGGAGAAGGUGCGCCGGCGUAGAUUGUAAGGGCUAGCCCCUGAAGGUUGAACCGGUCGAAGAUACCAGCUGGCUGCAACUGUUUAUUAAAAACACAGCACUCUGCAAACACGAAAGUGGACGUAUAGGGUGUGAUGCCUGCCCGGUGCUGGAAGGUUAAUUGAUGGUGUAAUCGCAAGAGAAGCACCUGAUCGAAGCCCCAGUAAACGGCGGCCGUAACUAUAACGGUCCUAAGGUAGCGAAAUUCCUUGUCGGGUAAGUUCCGACCUGCACGAAUGGCAUAAUGAUGGCCAGGCUGUCUCCACCCGAGACUCAGUGAAAUUGAAAUCGCCGUGAAGAUGCGGUGUACCCGCGGCUAGACGGAAAGACCCCGUGAACCUUUACUAUAGCUUGACACUGAACAUUGAAUUUUGAUGUGUAGGAUAGGUGGGAGCCUUUGAAGCAGUGACGCCAGUCAUUGUGGAGGCGACCUUGAAAUACCACCCUUUAACGUUUGAUGUUCUAACGAAGAUGACGAAACGUGGUCUCGGACAGUGUCUGGUGGGUAGUUUGACUGGGGCGGUCUCCUCCCAAAGCGUAACGGAGGAGCACGAAGGUUUGCUAAUCACGGUCGGACAUCGUGAGGUUAGUGCAAUGGUAUAAGCAAGCUUAACUGCGAGACAGACAAGUCGAGCAGGUACGAAAGUAGGUCAUAGUGAUCCGGUGGUUCUGAAUGGAAGGGCCAUCGCUCAACGGAUAAAAGGUACUCCGGGGAUAACAGGCUGAUACCGCCCAAGAGUUCAUAUCGACGGCGGUGUUUGGCACCUCGAUGUCGGCUCAUCACAUCCUGGGGCUGAAGUAGGUCCCAAGGGUAUGGCUGUUCGCCAUUUAAAGUGGUACGCGAGCUGGGUUUAGAACGUCGUGAGACAGUUCGGUCCCUAUCUGCCGUGGGCGUAGGAGAAUUGGUUGGGGCUGCUCCUAGUACGAGAGGACCGGAGUGGACGCACCACUGGUGUUCCGGUUGUGUCGCCAGACGCAUUGCCGGGUAGCUAAGUGCGGAAGAGAUAAGUGCUGAAAGCAUCUAAGCACGAAACUUGCCAAGAGAUGAGUUCUCCCAAUC